CUUUAAAAAAAAAAAAAGAAAUCUGCUGAAUUCAGAAAGCUGACGCAGGAGGAUUGCUUAAGUCCAGGAGUUCUGAGCUAUAACGCACUAUGCCAAUCAGGCAUCUGCACUAAAUUUGGCAUCAAUGUGGUGACCUCCUAGGAGCAGGGGACCGGACCAGGCCACUUGGUUGCCUAAGGAGGAGUGGACUGGCCCAGGUCAGAAAUGUAGCAAGCCAAAACUUCCAUGUUGAUCAGUACCAGGAUCACACCUGUGAAUAGCCACUGCACUUCAGCUGGAGCAACAUAGUGAGAUCCCAUCUCU
Cercocebus atys (sooty mangabey) is the source of this 303-nucleotide unclassified non-coding RNA. It matches the Rfam family "Metazoan signal recognition particle RNA". From Rfam's summary of the family: The signal recognition particle (SRP) is a universally conserved ribonucleoprotein. It is involved in the co-translational targeting of proteins to membranes. NCBI's taxonomy places the organism in Eukaryota, Metazoa, Chordata, Mammalia, Primates, Cercopithecidae. The record is from Ensembl.